This 401-nucleotide ribosomal RNA is filed under the name uncultured bacterium. RNAcentral's name for it is "bacterial SSU rRNA". It matches the Rfam family "Bacterial small subunit ribosomal RNA", at positions 30 to 414 of the family's 1533-position model. The record is from RNAcentral.
AGCGAACGUUAGCGGCGCGCCUAACACAUGCAAGUCGCACGAGAAACGGAGCAAUCCGCGGUACAGUGGCGCACGGGUGAGUAACACGUGGAUGACCUUCCCUGGAGUGGUGGAUAACCUGCCGAAAGGCGGGCUAAUACAGCAUGGGACCACGACGCUUUGGCGAUGUGGUGAAAGCGGGCCUCUAUAUAUAAGCUCGCGCUCCGGGACGGGUCCGCGUCCCAUCAGCUAGUUGGUGAGGUAACGGCUCACCAAGGCAACGACGGGUAGCUGGUCUGAGAGGAUGGCCAGCCACACUGGAACUGAGACACGGUCCAGACUCCUACGGGAGGCAGCAGGUGGGGAAUCUUGCGCAAGUGGGACGAAAGCCUGACGCAGCGACGCCGCGUGGGCGAAGAAGG